RNAcentral lists this ribosomal RNA (497 nucleotides) under uncultured bacterium. RNAcentral describes it as "partial 16S ribosomal RNA". It matches the Rfam family "Bacterial small subunit ribosomal RNA", at positions 28 to 507 of the family's 1533-position model. The record is from RNAcentral.
GAUGAACGCUGGCGGCGUGCCUAAUACAUGCAAGUCGAGCGAACAGACGAGGAGCUUGCUCCUCUGACGUUAGCGGCGGACGGGUGAGUAACACGUGGAUAACCUACCUAUAAGACUGGGAUAACUUCGGGAAACCGGAGCUAAUACCGGAUAAUAUAUUGAACCGCAUGGUUCAAUAGUGAAAGACGGUUUUGCUGUCACUUAUAGAUGGAUCCGCGCCGCAUUAGCUAGUUGGUAAGGUAACGGCUUACCAAGGCGACGAUGCGUAGCCGACCUGAGAGGGUGAUCGGCCACACUGGAACUGAGACACGGUCCAGACUCCUACGGGAGGCAGCAGUAGGGAAUCUUCCGCAAUGGGCGAAAGCCUGACGCAGCAACGCCGCGUGAGUGAUGAAGGUCUUCGGAUCGUAAAACUCUGUUAUUAGGGAAGAACAAAUGUGUAAGUAACUAUGCACGUCUUGACGGUACCUAAUCAGAAAGCCACGGCUAACUACGUG